Molecule: ribosomal RNA, 465 nt
Filed under: uncultured bacterium
Lineage: Bacteria
Description: bacterial SSU rRNA
Rfam family: Bacterial small subunit ribosomal RNA
Source: RNAcentral
UUCGAUUGAGUUUGAUCCUGGCUCAGGAUGAACGCUAGCGGCAGGCCUAAUACAUGCAAGUCGAACGGUGGUAGCAAUACCAUAGUGGCGCACGGGUGCGUAACACGUAACUAACCUACCUAUAACUGGGGGAUAGCCCGCCGAAAGGCGGAUUAAUACCGCAUAAGCUGUAAGCCUGGCAUCAGGCAUUCAGUAAAGAUUUAUUGGUUAUAGAUGGGGUUGCGGGUCAUUAGCUAGUUGGUAAGGUAACGGCUUACCAAGGCGACGAUGACUAGGGGAGCUGAGAGGCUGGUCCCCCACACGGGCACUGAGAUACGGGCCCGACUCCUACGGGAGGCAGCAGUAGGGAAUAUUGGGCAAUGGGCGAGAGCCUGACCCAGCCAUGCCGCGUGCAGGGAAGAAGGCUUUCUGAGUCGUAAACUGCUUUUGACAGGGAAGAAUAAGCAUCACGUGUGAUGCGAUGAC